UACGGAGGGUGCAAGCGUUAUCCGGAUUUACUGGGUUUAAAGGGUGCGUAGGUGGAUAAGAAAGUCAGUGGUGAAAUCUUCGGGCUUAACCCGGAAACUGCCGUUGAUACUAUUUAUCUUGAAUACUUUGGAGGUAAGCGGAAUAUGUCAUGUAGCGGUGAAAUGCUUAGAUAUGACAUAGAACACCAAUUGCGAAGGCAGCUUACUACACAGUAAUUGACACUGAGGCACGAAAGCGUGGGGAGCAAACGGG
Molecule: ribosomal RNA, 253 nt
Filed under: uncultured bacterium
Lineage: Bacteria
Description: partial 16S ribosomal RNA
Rfam family: Bacterial small subunit ribosomal RNA
Source: RNAcentral